AUUGAACGCUGGCGGCAUGCUUUACACAUGCAAGUCGAACGGCAGCACUGGGUCAUCCCUGUUGGCGAGUGGCUAACAGGUGAGUAAUACAUCGGAACGUGCCCGGUCGUGGGGGAUAACUUAGCGAAAGUUACCCUAAUACCGCAUACGAUCUGACGAUCAACUCGGGGGUCCUUCGUGCCUCGCGCUUUCGUAGCUUCCGAUGUCCGAUUAGCUAGUUGGUGGGGUAAUGGCCUACCAAGCCGACGAACUGUAGCUGGAUUGACAGGACGACAGGCCACACUGGGACGGAGACACGGACAAGACUACUACGGGAGGCAGCAGUGGGGAAUGGUGGACAAUGGGCGCAAGCAUGAUACAGCCAUUCCGCGUGCAGGACGAAGGCCUUCGGGUUGUAAACUGCGUUUGUACGGAACGAAAAGGCUCUGGCUAAUAACUGGGGAUCAUGACGGUACCGGAAGAAUAAGCACCGGCUAACUACGUG
Molecule: ribosomal RNA, 484 nt
Filed under: uncultured bacterium
Lineage: Bacteria
Description: partial 16S ribosomal RNA
Rfam family: Bacterial small subunit ribosomal RNA
Source: RNAcentral